UUUAUGAUUUCGAUUUCUUAUUUUAGCAAUUGCAUAGUACUUCAUGUUCAUAAUAAAAUCCAAUUUUGCUUAUGAAAAUAGAACAAACUUAGAGAAUAAUUGAAAAUUAAGUAGAAUUAAUUGGUUUUUUUAAUCACACUUAGAGUUUGUUUUCUCAUGAAAAUUGUUAGAAAUAAUCCAUCAUUUUUUCUCUCAUUGAAUUGUGCUUAAGGCUUUGAUUCUUGAAUAAAUUGGAUUUUGUUUCCUUCAUUGCCCUUUCACAUUACUUGAAGUAAUUG
RNAcentral lists this long non-coding RNA (278 nucleotides) under Lathyrus oleraceus (garden pea). Its description in RNAcentral is "Pisum sativum (pea) long non-coding RNA (PSAT_LNC031046)". Lineage: Eukaryota; Viridiplantae; Streptophyta; Magnoliopsida; Fabales; Fabaceae. The record is from RNAcentral.